This 430-nucleotide ribosomal RNA is filed under the name Pseudomonadota bacterium. RNAcentral describes it as "Proteobacteria bacterium partial 16S ribosomal RNA". It matches the Rfam family "Bacterial small subunit ribosomal RNA", at positions 355 to 776 of the family's 1533-position model. The record is from RNAcentral. Lineage: Bacteria; Pseudomonadati; Pseudomonadota.
UGGGGAAUCUUGGACAAUGGGGGGAACCCUGAUCCAGCCAUGCCGCGUGUGUGAAGAAGGCCUUAUGGUUGUAAAGCACUUUAAGCGAGGAGGAGGGUACUGGUAUUAAUACUACCAGGUACUGGACGUUACUCGCAGAAUAAGCACCGGCUAACUCUGUGCCAGCAGCCGCGGUAAUACAGAGGGUGCGAGCGUUAAUCGGAUUUACUGGGCGUAAAGCGUGCGUAGGCGGCUAAUUGAGUCGGAUGUGAAAUCCCCGAGCUUAACUUGGGAAUUGCAUUCGAUACUGGUUAGCUAGAGUGUGGGAGAGGAUAGUAGAAUUCCAGGUGUAGCGGAGAAAUGCGUAGAGAUCUGGAGGAAUACCGAUGGCGAAGGCAGCCAUCUGGCCUAACACUGACGCUGAGGUACGAAAGCAUGGGGAGCAAACAGG